Molecule: long non-coding RNA, 343 nt
Filed under: Homo sapiens (human)
Lineage: Eukaryota; Metazoa; Chordata; Mammalia; Primates; Hominidae
Description: HSALNT0016750
Source: RNAcentral
GAGCUGCCAGCCUCAUGACAUGCAAAUAAGCUGGUUCCACUCCAGCAGGUAACCAUAUUAUCCACCAGCCGUGGGUGAUACGGCUCUACCAGCAGUACCUCAAGCACAGUUCUGAUCAUUUUCUCCAGGAACCAAGUCUUUUUGUUUCUGUCAAAAAAAUUUUCACAAGGACCGUUGGCACAAAUGUACUUGCGAAGAGUUGUAGGCAUUCUCCCUCCAGAAUCCCUUACUGGAUUGUGAAAAAUGAGGUGGCUGGCAAGAUGGCCGAAUAGGAACAGUUCCUGUCUGCAGCUCCGAGCGAGAUCAACACAGAAGGCGGGUGAUUUCUGCAUUUCCAACUGAG